Molecule: long non-coding RNA, 883 nt
Organism: Choloepus didactylus (southern two-toed sloth)
Lineage: Eukaryota; Metazoa; Chordata; Mammalia; Pilosa; Megalonychidae
Exons: 5
Source: RefSeq, a predicted model, not a curated record
AUAAAAUCUAAUGCCCUUUGUGUCAACCAGGGUAGGUAAAUGGUCUUCUGCAAAGUUAAGAUGUUCAUACAACUUCUGUUUGUCACAUUCUGAUGCAUGUUGAGGAAUUUUCUUCUGCCUUCCUUGUAAGAAUCACUACUCUAUUUUUCCCAAUUCUGCUUUCUCAAAUAUAUAGCCCAUUUAUAAUUUGCUGUCUAACUUACGGCAUGCAUUCAGAUAUUUUCCUGGCCAUUCACUAGAGCAACUGGCAGACAGUCCACAUCCUAAGGGAGCUUAGAGGCAAUCAAGGCAGAAAGACUAAGGAAUCAGAACUUCUGGAGAAGAAAGGAAAAUCUGAGUUCAAAUUCAGGUCUGUUCACACUUCCUCCACUGAGGCCAAAGCAGCAUAUCAAAGCCAGGUGAAACUUCUGAAAUUAAAGUAAAUAAAAAUUGUUCUACAAUCAACCAUGAAGGAAGAAAGGUUGACAAAUCUGGCUAUCCUGUCUAUUGACCAAUAAUCUGUGCAGAAGAUGAGUUUUGACAAAACCAUUCACAAAUUUGCAAAUGUUAAGACUCAAAAACUGAAACCACAAUGUUAUUAUUCAUCACUGUGGCUGAACAAUAGGAAUCCAAGAAGCCAAGAGACUGUGUCCACUUGCAACCCAUACUCUUCCAGACCAUGCUUGGAUAACCCUGCACAAAUAACCCCAGGUUCAUUUCCAGGACCCAUGCAGUCCUCUUCUCCAGGUCUAUCUUCCCAAGAAUGGAAAGAGCCCUCAGUGUGUGCCCCCCAGACCCAAGAAAAAGCAUUGUGUGGGCAGCAACAUGUUUAUGAAAACAAAACAGCUUUGUGCCAGAUACUCCAGAGUCCCAUUGUCAAGUAAGGGUCCGUAGACCUCCAAGG